RNAcentral lists this ribosomal RNA (465 nucleotides) under uncultured bacterium. RNAcentral's name for it is "partial 16S ribosomal RNA". It matches the Rfam family "Bacterial small subunit ribosomal RNA", at positions 338 to 795 of the family's 1533-position model. The record is from RNAcentral.
CCUACGGGUGGCAGCAGUGGGGAAUAUUGCUCAAUGGACGAGAGCCUGACGCAGCGACGCCGCGUGAGGGAUGAAGGUCUUCGGGUCGGAAACCUCUGUCAGCAGGGGAAAACGGUCACUGUGCUAAUCAGCAGUGAAUUGACGGUACCUACAAGGGACGCACCAGCUAACUCCGUGCCAGCAGCCGCGGUAGUACGGAGGGUGCGAGCGUUAAUCGGAAUGACUGGGUGUAAAGCGGUCGUAGGCGGUAUGUCAAGUCAAGGGUGAAAUCCCCGCGCUCAACGUUGGAAUUGCCGUUGAAACUGGCAAACUUGAGUGUGUGAGAGGAGAGUGGAAUUCGAGGUGUAGGAGUGAAAUCCUUAGAUAUCAGGAGGAACACCAGUGGCGAAGGCGACUAUCUGGCACAUAACUGACGCUGAGGAGCGAAAGCGUGGGUAGCAAACAGGAUUAGAUACCCUUGUAGUC